RNAcentral lists this small RNA (110 nucleotides) under Chrysemys picta bellii (western painted turtle). Its description in RNAcentral is "TUC338 (ENSCPBG00000002975.1)". The record is from RNAcentral. Lineage: Eukaryota; Metazoa; Chordata; Testudines; Emydidae.
UUAUCCACAAUACAGGAACAGCAUGGUCAACAGCAGAGCCAGCUACCCGCAUGCUGUCUACUGCUAAUGUGCCUCAAUCUUGACUAGGCGAGACCGCUUCUAUGUGGUGA